This 492-nucleotide ribosomal RNA is filed under the name uncultured bacterium. Its description in RNAcentral is "partial 16S ribosomal RNA". It matches the Rfam family "Bacterial small subunit ribosomal RNA", at positions 29 to 507 of the family's 1533-position model. The record is from RNAcentral.
AGUGAACGCUGGCGGUAGGCCUAACACAUGCAAGUCGAACGGCAGCACAGUAAGAGCUUGCUCUUACGGGUGGCGAGUGGCGGACGGGUGAGGAAUACAUCGGAAUCUACUUUUUCGUGGGGGAUAACGUAGGGAAACUUACGCUAAUACCGCAUACGACCUACGGGUGAAAGCAGGGGAUCUUCGGACCUUGUGCGAUUGAAUGAGCCGAUGUCGGAUUAGCUAGUUGGCGGGGUAAAGGCCCACCAAGGCGACGAUCCGUAGCUGGUCUGAGAGGAUGAUCAGCCACGCUGGAACUGAGACACGGUCCAGACUCCUACGGGAGGCAGCAGUGGGGAAUAUUGGACAAUGGGCGCAAGCCUGAUCCAGCCAUACCGCGUGGGUGAAGAAGGCCUUCGGGUUGUAAAGCCCUUUUGUUGGGAAAGAAAAGCAGCAGGUUAAUACCCCGCUGUUCUGACGGUACCCAAAGAAUAAGCACCGGCUAACUUCGUG